GGCUAAGGCCGUGCCACCUUCAACGAGCCCGAUCUCGUCUGAUCUUGGAACCUAAGCAGGGAUGGGCCUAUUUAGUAUCUGGAUGGGAGACCACCUAGGAAUAGCAGGUUCUGUAGGCA
RNAcentral lists this ribosomal RNA (119 nucleotides) under Pteropus alecto (black flying fox). The record is from RNAcentral. Lineage: Eukaryota; Metazoa; Chordata; Mammalia; Chiroptera; Pteropodidae.